UGCCCUGACUAGGAUUUUGAACCGUGACCUUCUGGUUCAUAGGUGGACACUCAAACACUGAGCAAUGCCAGCUGAGCCCAUGCUUUUAUUUCACAGGUGCCUAUAAGCUCUUCCUCUCCCCCCACUCAGUCUGUAUACACAAACAUGCAAAGAGAUGGAAAUACACACACACACACACGCACGCACACACACACACGUGCGCACUUAGAACAGGAAUGGUAAGGUAUUAACUCUGUAAAUCUCUUCAUCAUUUACCUUCAUGGCUCUGCAUCCCUGACUUGUGUGUGGGUCUGGCAUACUAUUUGUGAUGGUGGGUAGAGACACCCUGGCAGCACUUUUUUUCCUUUCUGAUUUUUAGUUUUACUUCCUAAUGCCUGCUUUUAGUUUAUUUUGGACCCCAUAAUGUGAGUUUUCAUUAGGGACUAUGUUUGAGACGUUAUGGGGGCAGUAUGUACUAACUUACAAAAGGUAAACGCAUCGUAAAGUCCUUUGCGUGUGAAAUAACUUAGAUACCUGAGUACCCGUGUUUCUCCUCCCAGCCUUUGCCCUGGGAUGUGUAUUUGGCAGUUUAACCUGUUCUGUUUUACUCUUUUAAAAACACAAGAGGCAGUGGUACAAAAAA
Molecule: long non-coding RNA, 622 nt
Organism: Myotis davidii
Lineage: Eukaryota; Metazoa; Chordata; Mammalia; Chiroptera; Vespertilionidae
Exons: 2
Source: RefSeq, a predicted model, not a curated record